RNAcentral lists this non-coding RNA (31 nucleotides) under Mus musculus (house mouse). Lineage: Eukaryota; Metazoa; Chordata; Mammalia; Rodentia; Muridae. The record is from RNAcentral.
GUCAUGUGCCUUGGUCAAGUAUUGGCUGAUU